This 440-nucleotide ribosomal RNA is filed under the name uncultured Allobosea sp. RNAcentral's name for it is "bacterial SSU rRNA". It matches the Rfam family "Bacterial small subunit ribosomal RNA", at positions 338 to 795 of the family's 1533-position model. The record is from RNAcentral. Lineage: Bacteria; Pseudomonadati; Pseudomonadota; Alphaproteobacteria; Hyphomicrobiales; Alloboseaceae.
CCUACGGGAGGCAGCAGUGGGGAAUAUUGGACAAUGGGCGCAAGCCUGAUCCAGCCAUGCCGCGUGAGUGAUGAAGGCCUUAGGGUUGUAAAGCUCUUUUGUCCGGGAAGAUAAUGACUGUACCGGAAGAAUAAGCCCCGACUAACUUCGUGCCAGCAGCCGCGGUAAUACGAAGGGGGCUAGCGUUGCUCGGAAUCACUGGGCGUAAAGGGCGCGUAGGCGGACUCUUAAGUCGGGGGUGAAAGCCCAGGGCUCAACCCUGGAAUUGCCUUCGAUACUGAGAGUCUUGAGUUCGGAAGAGGUUGGUGGAACUGCGAGUGUAGAGGUGAAAUUCGUAGAUAUCCGCAAGAACACCAGUGGCGAAGGCGGCCAACUGGACUAAUACUGACACUGAGGUGCGAAAGCGUGGGGAGCAAACAGGAUUAGAUACCCGAGUAGUC